GAUGAACGCUAGCGGCAGGCUUAAUACAUGCAAGUCGAGGGGCAGCAUGACUGUAGCAAUACAGUUGAUGGCGACCGGCAAACGGGUGCGGAACACGUACACAACCUUCCUUUAAGCGGGGAAUAGCCCAGAGAAAUUUGGAUUAAUACCCCAUAGUAUAUCGAUUAGGCAUCUUUUUGAUAUUAAAGAUUUAUCACUUGAAGAUGGGUGUGCGGCUGAUUAGGUAGUUGGCGGGGUAACGGCCCACCAAGCCUGCGAUCAGUAACUGGUGUGAGAGCACGACCAGUCACACGGGCACUGAGACACGGGCCCGACUCCUACGGGUGGCUG
RNAcentral lists this ribosomal RNA (330 nucleotides) under uncultured Bacteroidota bacterium. RNAcentral's name for it is "bacterial SSU rRNA". It matches the Rfam family "Bacterial small subunit ribosomal RNA", at positions 28 to 351 of the family's 1533-position model. Lineage: Bacteria; Pseudomonadati; Bacteroidota. The record is from RNAcentral.